CCGGAAAGAAAAAUAAG
This 17-nucleotide transfer RNA is filed under the name Ptychomnion subaciculare. Its description in RNAcentral is "partial tRNA-Phe". The record is from RNAcentral. Lineage: Eukaryota; Viridiplantae; Streptophyta; Bryopsida; Ptychomniales; Ptychomniaceae.